Molecule: transfer RNA, 66 nt
Filed under: Lamprotula scripta
Lineage: Eukaryota; Metazoa; Mollusca; Bivalvia; Unionida; Unionidae
Description: tRNA-Met
Source: RNAcentral
AUUGACGUAUCAAAUUAACUACACCAAUUAAACUACAUAUGGUAGCCCACGCACAUUGUGCCUAAG